Molecule: ribosomal RNA, 655 nt
Filed under: Entomortierella parvispora
Lineage: Eukaryota; Fungi; Mortierellomycota; Mortierellomycetes; Mortierellales; Mortierellaceae
Description: eukaryotic LSU rRNA
Rfam family: Eukaryotic large subunit ribosomal RNA
Source: RNAcentral
GCGGGAUGAGCUCAAAUUUAAAAUCUGGCUGGUUUACUAGUCCGAAUUGUAGUUUAAAGAAGCGUUUUCGGUGGCAGUCUCGGUAUAAAUCCUUUGGAAUAGGGUAUCAUAGAGGGUGAGAAUCCCGUCUUUGACUGAGAAUUUGCUACUAUGUGAUACGUUUUCAAAGAGUCGAGUUGUUUGGGAAUGCAGCUCAAAAUGGGUGGUAAAUUUCAUCUAAAGCUAAAUAUUGGCGAGAGACCGAUAGCGAACAAGUACCGUGAGGGAAAGAUGAAAAGAACUUUGAAAAGAGAGUUAAACAGUGCGUGAAAUUGUUGAAAGGGAAACGCUUGAAACCAGUCAUGUGGUUGGAAAAUCAGUGUUCAAUUGGGGGGAAUGGGGGAGGUGUGGACCGCAAGGCUGCUCUUUUCUAUAUCUCUUUUGUUGGGCAUGCACUUUUUCUGCCGCAGGUCAACAUCAGUUUCUUUUGCUGGACAAAACUCUUGAGAAGGUAGCAGCUUAGGCUGUGUUAUAGCUCUGGAGCGAUACAGUGAAGGGGACUGAGGUUUUCGCAGCAUGUGCUCUCGGGCAAGGCCAAUUGGGUGCUAUGGGAUCGUUCGGGGUACAAUACAUGUAUUUUGCUUCGUGUCCUUUCUAUACUCGUUCAAUUGAGCUC